GGCCGGUUCUGCUGGCGCCUGACGGUUGCGGGGCGGCGGCGGUCAUCCGAGGGCCGAAUCCGCCUUUAUGACACCGCCGCAGCGACGUCAGCGUAUCCAGCAGUAAACCACCAACGGCUUCGCCGUCCCCUAGCUCCGCACGGGAAUGCGAAGAAUGUGAGACUUGAGAGAUCCAACAGGGGAGAUGCACCGCAGCGACGGCAUGGAGGUGGCGGGAGGGUGGAGGCCGCCUGCUACCGCUAGCUACUGAGACAGCUCCGAGUCUUCGAGCUCUGGUUCCGGCCUGCGCAUAUGGUACGGAUGCCCUCCCCUUGGAUACCUUCUUGCUAAAUCUGUGAAAUGCUUGGUCGCAAGCCGCACCUGUCGCCGAUUCCUUUGUGCAGCUAGAGAGUUGCAAUUUGCAAAUACCUGUGGACAGUUAUAAGGCAAUUAAGGUUUAUAUUAACAGUUUUAAAAUCUUGUGCUGCCUGAGCCACUUCUGGGUUCAGAUACGCGUGUGGUCAUGCUUGCUCUUUUCUUCUUAAUGAAAUACGCUCGUUCGCAAAAAAAAGUACUUAAGAUUACACAUCUGACACUGCGCAACACCUGAAGAAUGCAUAGAGACAAAAUACUGUAGCAAGCCGUAACGAACAAGCCUGGGCAAUAUGAAAUCUGGACGUUUCUGAGUUCUGCCUGAUCUGGGCUGCGUUGGCACACCGUUUCAGAACGAGAGCACACGUUGUGGGCUGGGAAAGGGAGAUAUAUCAUAGUACUUUAUUAUACGCCCUAUUCUAAUCCACCCAAAUAUGUCCAACUUUAAUAUUGACGGAGCACUGCAACCCCCCCCCCCCCCCCCCCCCCCCCCCCCCCCCCCCCCCCCCCCCCCUCUUCAAGAAUUUCAGCCGACUCAAAUCGUAUUAGAACACCAAGGAGCUUUCCAGAGUGUAAACUAUGAACAAGGAGGCUGAACAAGAGCCAUGGGUAGCCCACCAAGCAGUUACACCAGUAUACAACCACAUGCACACGCAUGGACAUAAAGAAGGCACCAAAGCUGCCGCUAAAUUUGACAUUUCAUCAUGUUUUUUAUUUUAAUAAAAAACACUUUAUUAUUCAUAUUAACUUGAACCUGCACCUCACACGGUUUUUCUUUCUGAAAGUUUAAAACUUUUCACAGUUGAGUUACAGGCAGAAACAGAGCAGAAGUAUGGAGCCGUACUAUGCAUUCGGUGAUCCUACACGCCGCUCCAACAUUUCUCAUUCUCCGCAAACCACCGUGGCUUUCCGAAUGAACUCUGAGAGAGCUGGCAUCAAGGGCAGAAAUAAGAAUCUUUGGCAAAGGGUAACUUGAAGUACACAUGAAAUAAAAACACAUCACAAUACACAUAAAUCAGUUAAUCAGAAUUAACCAUAAUUGUCUUCCUCUGUUCUGUAUUGUUUUCCGAGAAUAUGCAGGAGAUCUACGUAUCUUUACCCCUCAUAUGGAAAGAACAUAGGUAUCAGUCAUAAAACCCCCUAUCAAUCACAGAAAAAAAGCCUUUAAUGUUUGUAGCAGAGGUUAUAGGGCAAAAUCAAGAAAGGUACAUAUCCAGCAGUUCCCCUUUAUUUAUAUAAUUCUGGCAAAAGUACUGACAGCCUUAAGUUCAAAAGUUGAGUGAAAACAAACACAGCGGACUACCUUAACCCAAACUAGCGAACAUACCAUUUGACACUUGUUGCAGUUUGCCCUCAUCGUCCAACUGCUGAAGGAGCAGCAGCAAGUUCAGCAGUGAGAAUGAAGGUUGACAUGCCAGCUUCCCUGAGGUGACGAAUGUCACCAUUCAUGAGCCUCAGAAGGUUUCUAGAAACAGCAAGGCUGAAGCCCUCCUCUGACUGCUCUUUAUUGUCCUCCUCAUACAUUUGCGACAAUAUUUCCGCUGGGACUCCUGCUCCUCGGUGCUUGAUCCUGAAAAUCAUAAAGCCAUAAACACAAGAGUAACUUAAGCCUUCACACCUCAUGCUUUCCAGUUCAGAAAUGAAUGUAUGCUUGCAAACUAGCAUGCCCAGCAUACCUAAGUUCGAAGUCUAUGAGGUGAAGGUUUUCCCCAAUGCUGUUCUUAGUCAGCUUGGAAGAGAUGUCAACAGAGCCACCAGCAGGAGAGAACUUCACCGAAACAAAUAGGAAGUCAGAGACGAUCUGCUGGAGUCGGAUACCAUCCCCGUAAACCUUUUGCUUCAUGGAUCUCUCUGGCAGGUUGCAAGCAACUCUGAUACCUUUAGCCUGGCAACCUAUCAGCACUUGACUUACAGCAGACACCACCACAUCUUGCAACACAAAUUCAGCCAUAUCCAAAUCCAAGCAGCUUGACCUGUGAACAUAAUGAUACAGAAAUAUUAAGUUGGUUGUAACGAAUAUGGCUAUAAGCUUCAGUAGCUAGUGAAGUAAAAUUAAGUGAUACCAUCAACCUACUGUUCAGAAAAUUGUCAAAUUACGAGGAAGACGGAAAUAAAUACAAGAACCUAAUAGAACAGUUUAAAAGACUUGGCAAGAAGGUUACUUGUCAGUGAUGUUAUCUUGAUCCAAGUCGGCAAGUAUCUUGUUUAGCUGGCGAUGGCAAUUGUCUCCGACGCGAACCUGCCUCAUCUGCUCUUCAUUCAGACCUGUGCUCUUGAGUGUUUCCCUAGAAUAAAGCAUACCUGAGAGAGGUUUGUUGAUGGCAUGUCGCAUGUACGAGAAAGCCUUCAACUUUCUUUGUGCUGUCUGCUCAGAGGCUUGCUGCACAUGUAGCGCAUGCUGCAGGUCAUCACUAGGAACAUGGAUGAAACAGAACACUCCAGUGACAACACCAUCUGCAUUUACUUUCCUGUUCACCGACAGAAGGCAUUCGACAUAUUUCUCAUUGCGGUCAAAGAAGCCGAAUGAAGCCUUUUCUGCCUCUUCACCAGCUAAUGCGCUGUUGAUGACAAUGCAAAGACGUACAAAGGCAUCUUUGCUCUUCAGAAGGCAGGAAGCAUUGCUGCUGUUAAAAACCUCGCCAAGGAGCAUCUUAUCAACCACUUCAUCUCUGUGCCACCCGGUAAGCUUGGUCAUGGCUGCAUUCCACUCAGAGCACCAUCCAAACUGGUCAGCACCAAAUAUAGGAGGAAUGAGUGGGUUCGGGUUGUGGAUGAUUGCCUUGUAGUCCCCCUCGACCCGAGUAAAUUUGUCCAUGACCAACUUGUGAACAGUCAUGUCCUGGGCUACAAAGCACACCCCAACAACAUGGUCAUGAAGAUCACGACUGGCACAAGCAUUUACGACCAAGAUAACAGGGCCAUCAUCCCUCUUGGAGCCAUGUGUUUUCAGCUCAAAUCGAACUUCCUUCUCUUCUCUGCCUGCUCAAUUGAUGAAAUAUUCAGAAACCAAUACGUAAUACAAUAAAUUUAUUCAUUUUUUCUGAGGGUUGACUAUUAACAGUAAGAAUAGUAAUUAAAUGGUGCAGACAGUAAAGGUGCUUAAAACCUUUUAGUUCCACUCACCUUGCAGAGCUAAAUAUAGCAUCCUCUGAACAAGUGAUACAGAAGAAUCCUCCACAAGUGUAAGUAUGUGUCUUCCUAUAGCCUCAUCAACUCUCAGCCCUGACAACUCCGCUACCUUUUGGUUCCAUCCAUUGACCAAUCCAUUGCCAUCUACUGCCAAGAUCGGAACAGUUGCUGUUUCCAUCAGGCGGACCAUUUCACUUGUCACUGCUUGCAAUUCAGCAAGCCCAUCAAGUUUUAGAUCACCGAUCUGGUUAUCUAAACCAGAUGCCUGGGCCGGCUUCGAGGCAUCAUUCAGUGUACCUCUAAGAAUAAGCUGCAAUGAGUGAAUAGCAUCCAUCUCGUAGUCACUCCAUGGCAAACUCUUCGUCUUGACAACCUCAAGGAAAGCCUUAAAGGAUAACCUAGGGUGCAUCCUUCUGUUGUCAUCCUUAUCAGAUGGAUCAUGCUUUGCACCUCCCCAUUUGAUUUCAGCAGCUGUAUGUGACCUGAACCAGAAAAGAAUGUCCUUGGACGUGAUCUUGGCCACUGCCAUUCCACAAAUCAUGUCACCAAGGGAAGCAGCUCCUGGAUAUCCAGCAUCCUGGAGGCUAUCAGUACUCAAGCCAGUGGAAUCCCCAUGAACUUCUGAAAGCCAGAAGGCAAUAUCACGAAUCUGAGACUCGGUUGGAGCCGUUUGAAGCCGCCAUACUUUGUCCCCAUACAAAAGAGCAGCGCCAUCACACUUAACUAGGUCCAUGAUAUUUGGACUCCCAGACACGAUACUCAAGGGAGAUGAUUCCUUGAACAGCAUGUCAGAGAGCAUUGUUUGCAUUCGCAGAAUGUUUUUCUCUCGUAUCUGCUUCUCCAAUUCAAACUCCUUGUUUACAUGGACAGCAAACACUUGGGCCAAGAAUUCACAGGCAUACCGCAGUGGGAAAGGGACAUAUCUGGGGCUCUCAUGGUGGCAAACAAUGAGACCCCACAGCCUCUUCUUCUUCUGCUGUUGUGGUGGUUGUUCAGGCUCGGGUUCAUCAUCCUCUUCAUUUUCAUUGACCACAACAGCCAUGACAAGGGAUGCAAUCGAGUUCAUGUUCUCCAUAUACUUAAGGUGACAGCUAUGUGGUGCUCUAAGAGUUGAACCACACAAGCUAAUAUCAAUGGAGAGUGCCUCAUCUUCAAUAAUCUUCACGGAUCUUGCACGGCAAUCACAGAUCAUUCUGACUUUGUUCUUCAUGAAGAGAAACCUGGCAGCUUGAGGGAUAUCAGUGGCUGGAUAGUGCAGGCCUAUAUAGGGCUCAAUACCAGGUUUGGUGAUCUCAGCGAAGACCUCCCCAUGCUCAUCUUCAUGGAACUUGUAAGCCAUAACCCUGUCAUAACCUGUCAGGUCAAAGACUUCCUUAACCACGGUAUUGCAUAAGGCCUCCAUGCUUCCACCUGGUAGUGACUGGAUCUUGGAGAUUGCCUUGGCAGCAAGCUUGUAGGACUGCAAAGCCCCAGCAGCAGUGGCAGGAAAUUCUGUAGGCUUCACAGGCUCAAAAUCUACCACCAGACAACCAGUUGCCCUAUGAACAAUGGCAUAGAAUGGCUUGCCUGAGGUCUUGCACUGAACCAGGAUAGGAUUCAGCAAAGAAACAUCAGCAAAUCCAAGUGCCUUCUGCAGUGCUGUAGCACCAGGGUCAGUGAAAAGGGAUCGCACAUUGGUGCCAAUUCCUAGCUUCGGGGGAUCAUCAACGUUCGGCACAGCAUGGCUGACCGUUGUAAGCAUUUCAGGUGCAUUCUCACUGAAUGCAAUGACCCUGAAGCUCUUCUCGUCAAG
Zea mays is the source of this 5272-nucleotide non-coding RNA. NCBI's taxonomy places the organism in Eukaryota, Viridiplantae, Streptophyta, Magnoliopsida, Poales, Poaceae. The record is from RefSeq and is a predicted model, not a curated record.